AGUAGAAAAAGUAUUCUUUACUGAAGCAAUACUGCAAUAGGAAAAUACCCAAUUGGAAGUAAAAGUAUAAUAAUAAUUUUAUUCAUAUAGCACUUUUUAAAACACAGUUACAAAGUGCGUCAUAAAUAGGAUACAAUACACACAUACAAAUACAAGUAUACAUACAUACAUACAUACAUCCAUACACACAUACAUAUGCAUGGUACAUAGACAAAGAUUAAAGCAUAUGACCAAAAUAAACAAAACUAAAGGCAAACAGAGAGUGUUUAUAAAAAGGCCAAGUAUGUAAGUAUUGUUAGCAAAAUGUACUUGAAAUAUCAAAAUUAAAAGUACACAUAAUUCAGAAAAAUGGCCCCUGUGGGUGCCGUACUAUUAUGCACUAUAUUAUUGGAUUAUUAUUCCUGAGGGAUUAAUAUGUUAGUAGCAUUUUAAUGUUGUUUAAUGUUUGUCGAUGUGGAGCUAAUUUUAACAAUUCUAUAUACUGUUAGUAGUUUAAUCUAUAAACAAUGCAUCGGAUUUCAUAAACCCAUCAUAUAUUUUGUAAGUAUAAAUUUAAACUGUAACAACAGCAAGUAGCAUGAAAUGGAAACACAAGUAAAGUACAAGUACCUGAAAUGUGUAUUUAAGUAACUGUAUUUAAAUACAUUCCACAACUGGUUGGUUUUUGUGCAGUACUGGUCAGAAGAACCAUCUCUGAGGAUAGGAGGAAUCCUGGCAUUUUUGUGAGGCAUCAACAAAUGAAACACUUGUUUCCGAGAUCCAGUCCUCUGUCCAGCUCGCAGGCUUGUCCGUUAUCCCCUCUGUGCCCUCCAACGGCUCCCAGUACCGUCCCAUUGCCAUCUGCAGGGUGCCAUCUGUUGAUGAUGAUGGCGUGAUGGUCCUGAUGAAGACAUUCUGCUCAAGAUGGUUGUGGAAGCAUGUCCAUGUCACAGUACAGACACAAACCAGACUUCUUAACCAAGUGCUGAGGCAAUGGAAAAUAGAAAACCAGACACUUUUGCAUGACUGUGGGCAAUUAUAGCAGAUACCACCGCUUAUCCCCAAAGCUUAAUCUAAAGAUUGGAGCCCAUCAUCACAGGUCUAAACAGCAAGUCACACCCAGUGAGCUAUUACUGACAAUACAUGCAAAAACUAGAGCUUACAGUAAAGUACAAUCACUGUCAUAUAAAUCACAAAGAGGAAUAUGUCUUUUCUCCAGUGCUUUAUAGUUGUGCAUAGGUUAUCUAACGCUGGGCUGCACUUUAUUUGUUUUAAAUCCGCUGCCAUCUGGGAUUACAAUAAAAAACAGUGAAACGGUGCAGAUUCAGGAGUAUGAAUACAUCUGUAAGGAUUUUAGGCUCAGGGAGGACAGGGAGAGCAGUCAGCAUUCUGCUGUUGUUGUAGAGCUGCAAACUUGCUUCCAAGAGACAGUGACUCCUAUUACUGGAGAAGCAGAAUGGUUGAGAUCUGCUGAUUAAAGAUCUUGAGGUCAAGACAUUUAACAUUGUAAUGUGCAGCUGAAUAGGACUCGUGACUCCUGUCUCUGCAUGUCUAUGUUUAUGUGGGUGUGAGUGUGAGCUAAGUGUUUCAGUAUCCAGUGUUACAUUUGCAUUUAAGUGUGCGGAUUAGUUCAAUUAAACAAAAAGACAUUGCCCUGAUCAGAACUAUAUACUCACUAGCUAAAAAAAAAAAAAAAAAAACAACCCCUCCACUAUAGUAAAAUAAUGUUAAGCACACCUGACUGAGUCUGCAAAGCUGUGCACCAUCUACUGGUAUGAUGGAGUGCAGCAACUCUCUAUUAGAGAUGGAGCAUGUACAAUUAAAGUAAGUACAAGAUAUGACCUUAAACUUCAUUUUCAGAGGUAUACAUGAUCAGCGUAGCCAGAUAUACCUUUCAUGGUUAUCAAAACCCAUUUAAAUAAUUAAACAUGAUGAAAAUAAUCAGACAUGGGAACUUUACAAUGUACAAGUUUAUUUUUAAUUAACUCUUCAGUGGUUGGUAGUCACAGCACAGCUUGCAUGUAUUAAGCCACACACCUAUUUUACAAGAUGACGGGGAAAAAAAAAAUAAAGAAAAUAACAAAAAGUCUAAACCAGAGUAGAUGGUCAUCAGUCCAUCUGCAGUGACUUUUUUUUUUUUACUUUUACUAAAAUAUCCUUAAAAGGCCACUGAAAUGCAUAAAAUGUUUUCAGAUGCAUGAAAUGUCUGAUGGUGGCAAGUUGCUUUAACCUGACAUCAAGACUCCUCACAUGGCAUUGACAGUGCAUGUAGACAUUGUAAAAAGGACUGGGUUAGCGAUACCUAAGAUAUUUAUUUUUUUUUAGUGACAACACCUUGGCUAUAAUACUACAGCUUUAAAAAAUUGGAAACAAAAUUAACAGCACUCUUUCAAGAUACUGAAUACAAUGAAAGUGAAAUGUAGUGAAGCGAUUUUUUUUUGUUUUAUCUCACAAUUAUGUGAACACUUAUUUUAAACUGGAAAAAAGCACUGAACACUGCAAGCCGUCCCGUGUAAGAGAGAGAGGCUCUACUGUACUGUAUCCAAUGUCUUUAGACUAUAAAAGAAAAAUAAUUAAAACACACCUUUUUGUCCUCUGGAAUUUGUAUACUUUUAAUAGUAACAGACGGGAACCAUAAAUGCAUGCCAUGUGCUGGUCUCAAACAAAUACAUACAGGUAUAUACAGCAUCACUCAGUACCUGCUAAAACAAAGUGAGAAAUACAGGGUAUAAACUGACUACACUACAAACUUAAAACAAAAAAAAACAAAGAAGAAGAGGAGGAAGGUGAGCGAUGAAGCGGUGGAAGAGUGAAAAAUCCUACAUGUGAUGGACUCAUCAUUAAAGCAUUAAAAAAAGAGAAAGAAAUGCAUAUUGCACAUACAGUGAAAGCUUAAAUUCCACCAGGUCCGCCUCGUUUCGCUAAAGCGAGAAUUCAAAAUUUUCCCUCUUGGAGGAAGACACACAGAGGUACAAAAAUGGGUGAGUGUGGGCAAGUGUGUGUGCGCAUUGGUGAUCUGUGUGUGGG
This is a long non-coding RNA of Siniperca chuatsi (mandarin fish), 3006 nucleotides long. RefSeq lists it as uncharacterized. The record is from RefSeq and is a predicted model, not a curated record. Lineage: Eukaryota; Metazoa; Chordata; Actinopteri; Centrarchiformes; Sinipercidae. The transcript is spliced from 3 exons.